This 281-nucleotide ribosomal RNA is filed under the name uncultured Anaplasma sp. RNAcentral's name for it is "partial 16S ribosomal RNA". It matches the Rfam family "Bacterial small subunit ribosomal RNA", at positions 163 to 478 of the family's 1533-position model. The record is from RNAcentral. Lineage: Bacteria; Pseudomonadati; Pseudomonadota; Alphaproteobacteria; Rickettsiales; Anaplasmataceae.
GGUAUACUGUAUAAUCCCUGCGGGGGAAAGAUUUAUCGCUACUAGAUGAGCCUAUGUCAGAUUAGCUAGUUGGUGGGGUAAUGGCCCACCAAGGCUGUGAUCUGUAGCUGGUCUGAGAGGAUGAUCAGCCACACUGGAACUGAGACACGGUCCAGACUCCUACGGGAGGCAGCAGUGGGGAAUAUUGGACAAUGGGCGCAAGCCUGAUCCAGCUAUGCCGCGUGAGUGAGGAAGGCCUUAGGGUUGUAAAACUCUUUCAGUAGGGAAGAUAAUGACGGUAC